Molecule: ribosomal RNA, 500 nt
Filed under: uncultured microorganism
Description: bacterial SSU rRNA
Rfam family: Archaeal small subunit ribosomal RNA
Source: RNAcentral
AGUGGGUGUAACGUACCUACUAGCCGACGACGGGUACGGGUUGUGAGAGCAAGAGCCCGGAGAUGGAUUCUGAGACAUGAAUCCAGGCCCUACGGGGCGCAGCAGGCGCGAAAACUUUACAAUGCGGGAAACCGCGAUAAGGGGACACUGAGUGCCAGCAUACAAUGUUGGCUGUCCGCAUGUAUAAAUAGCAUGUGUUAGCAAGGGCCGGGCAAGACCGGUGCCAGCCGCCGCGGUAACACCGGCGGCCCGAGUGGUGGCCACUAUUAUUGGGUCUAAAGGGUCCGUAGCCGGUUUGAUCAGUCUUCCGGGAAAUCUGACAGCUCAACUGUUAGGCUUCCGGGGGAUACUGUCAGGCUUGGGACCGGGAGAGGUAAGAGGUACUACAGGGGUAGGAGUGAAAUCUUGUAAUCCUUGUGGGACCACCAGUGGCGAAGGCGUCUUACCAGAACGGGUCCGACGGUGAGGGACGAAAGCUGGGGGCACGAACCGGAUUAGAU